GAUGGGGACCUCGCAAGAGGCCUAUCGCCAUGAGAGGGGCCCGCGGCCUAUCAGCUAGUUGGUGAGGUAACGGCUCACCAAGGCUAUGACGGGUAGCUGGUCUGAGAGGAUGGUCAGCCACACUGGGACUGAGACACGGCCCAGACUCCUACGGGAGGCAGCAGCCGAGAAUCUCCCGCAAUGGGCGAAAGCCUGACGGAGCGACGCCGCGUGAAGGAUGAAGGUCUUCGGAUUGUAAACUCCUGUCAGCUGGGAAGAAAGUUCUAGGGUGAACAAUCCUAGAAUCUGACGGUACCAGCAGAGGAAGCCACGGCUAACUCUGUGCCAGCAGCCGCGGUAA
Molecule: ribosomal RNA, 340 nt
Filed under: uncultured bacterium
Lineage: Bacteria
Description: bacterial SSU rRNA
Rfam family: Bacterial small subunit ribosomal RNA
Source: RNAcentral